GGGUGACAAGCAUGUUCCCGUACCUCUUCGGAGUACCCAUUGCAUUAUACGGGAUAUUAUUGUAGUUUUGUGGCACAUCAGCAAUAAAUGGCAUGUUUUAGAAGUCGAUCAGUUUUUUGCAGAUGAUGUCGUACUAUCAGCAAACGAUGCCAAUGAUUUGCAGAGCAUGUUAGACAUUGCAAAUGAUUUUAGUAUAAUAUAGUUUUUAGAAACAGAUGAACGCCAAGAAAAAAUCCUAAUAAAUGUGGAAUCAUUAAGGACAGGUAUAAUACUGUCAUGCUUAAGGAUCUCCGGCGGUAAAUAAUUGGAUGUAUAACUGCAACAUAAC
Anneissia japonica is the source of this 328-nucleotide long non-coding RNA. RefSeq lists it as uncharacterized. The record is from RefSeq and is a predicted model, not a curated record. Lineage: Eukaryota; Metazoa; Echinodermata; Crinoidea; Comatulida; Comatulidae. The transcript is spliced from 3 exons.